CGAGUCUUUAGCAGACCCAUCACCCCCACCUCCUCAAGAGUAUAUAUAAAAUUGAAAGUUAUUUAAAUAAUACCAACUGAUGACUGCUGUGCAGUGGAAAUAUCGAUCAUCUUGCUUGAAAAAACCUCAGUAUAUCAUCAGGAGCAACAGGCCACAUAUUCAGCUAAAAAUCUUCUUUGCUGUACUGCUGAAGAAAAUACUCAUCAACAUAUUGGGUGGCGUAAGGAUUUUUACAGGAUUCAGUCGCAUAUCUCAGAUCUGAGUUCUGCGCAGCAUUGGACACAGACACUGCACUUUUGACAUUUUCUAGAAAAAAAGGAUUUUAAAUUUCACAUCAAGUUCAUUAAAAGUCAUCUGAUGUUUCCACUGCAGUACUUCAGGGCCUUUCAGUCAUCCUGGAGGAUGACCCACAGGAAUUUUACAGGAUGUGUUUCGAUGUGAAUGCAGACUUCAGUCAAGCAGUUGUAGACCUGCUCACAGUUCUACCAGAGGACAUGCCCUCAUUGUGGAUGCAAUAAAGGCAAUCAUGGAGGGAAGAAUUGUCAUGGAUGGGUUUUACAGGCCUGUAUUUUAUUUUUGCUGUUCUGUUUG
Labeo rohita (rohu) is the source of this 591-nucleotide long non-coding RNA. RefSeq lists it as uncharacterized. The record is from RefSeq and is a predicted model, not a curated record. The transcript has 7 exons. Lineage: Eukaryota; Metazoa; Chordata; Actinopteri; Cypriniformes; Cyprinidae.